GGUGCCAUGGCUUAGUUGGUUAAAGCGCCUGUCUAGUAAACAGGAAAUCCUGAGUUCGAAACUCAGUGGUGCCU
RNAcentral lists this transfer RNA (74 nucleotides) under Saccoglossus kowalevskii. RNAcentral describes it as "tRNA-Thr". It matches the Rfam family "tRNA". Rfam says of the family: Transfer RNA (tRNA) molecules are approximately 80 nucleotides in length. Their secondary structure includes four short double-helical elements and three loops (D, anti-codon, and T loops). Further hydrogen bonds mediate the characteristic L-shaped molecular structure. tRNAs have two regions of fundamental functional importance: the anti-codon, which is responsible for specific mRNA codon recognition, and the 3' end, to which the tRNAs corresponding amino acid is attached (by aminoacyl-tRNA synthetases). tRNAs cope with the degeneracy of the genetic code in two manners: having more than one tRNA (with a specific anti-codon) for a particular amino acid; and 'wobble' base-pairing, i.e. permitting non-standard base-pairing at the 3rd anti-codon position. The record is from RNAcentral. Lineage: Eukaryota; Metazoa; Hemichordata; Enteropneusta; Harrimaniidae.